Molecule: ribosomal RNA, 435 nt
Filed under: uncultured bacterium
Lineage: Bacteria
Description: partial 16S ribosomal RNA
Rfam family: Bacterial small subunit ribosomal RNA
Source: RNAcentral
AGCGAACGCUGGCGGCAGGCUUAACACAUGCAAGUCGAACGGGCAUAGCAAUAUGUCAGUGGCAGACGGGUGAGUAACGCGUGGGAACGUACCUUUUGGUUCGGAACAACACAGGGAAACUUGUGCUAAUACCGGAUAAGCCCUUACGGGGAAAGAUUUAUCGCCGAAAGAUCGGCCCGCGUCUGAUUAGCUAGUUGGUAGGGUAAUGGCCUACCAAGGCGACGAUCAGUAGCUGGUCUGAGAGGAUGAUCAGCCACAUUGGGACUGAGACACGGCCCAAACUCCUACGGGAGGCAGCAGAGGGGAAUAUUGGACAAUGGGCGAAAGCCUGAUCCAGCCAUGCCGCGUGAGUGAUGAAGGCCCUAGGGUUGUAAAGCUCUUUUGUGCGGGAAGAUAAUGACGGUACCGCAAGAAUAAGCCCCGGCUAACUUCGUG